This 497-nucleotide ribosomal RNA is filed under the name uncultured bacterium. RNAcentral's name for it is "partial 16S ribosomal RNA". It matches the Rfam family "Bacterial small subunit ribosomal RNA", at positions 28 to 507 of the family's 1533-position model. The record is from RNAcentral.
GAUGAACGCUGGCGGCGUGCCUAAUACAUGCAAGUCGAGCGAACAGACGAGGAGCUUGCUCCUCUGACGUUAGCGGCGGACGGGUGAGUAACACGUGGAUAACCUACCUAUAAGACUGGGAUAACUUCGGGAAACCGGAGCUAAUACCGGAUAAUAUAUUGAACCGCAUGGUUCAAUAGUGAAAGACGGUUUUGCUGUCACUUAUAGAUGGAUCCGCGCCGCAUUAUCUAGUUGGUAAGGUAACGGCUUACCAAGGCAACGAUGCGUAGCCGACCUGAGAGGGUGAUCGGCCACACUGGAACUGAGACACGGUCCAGACUCCUACGGGAGGCAGCAGUAGGGAAUCUUCCGCAAUGGGCGAAAGCCUGACGGAGCAACGCCGCGUGAGUGAUGAAGGUCUUCGGAUCGUAAAACUCUGUUAUUAGGGAAGAAAAAAUGUGUAAGUAACUAUGCACGUCUUGACGGUACCUAAUCAGAAAGCCACGGCUAACUACGUG